RNAcentral lists this ribosomal RNA (228 nucleotides) under uncultured Planctomycetota bacterium. Its description in RNAcentral is "uncultured planctomycete partial 16S ribosomal RNA". It matches the Rfam family "Bacterial small subunit ribosomal RNA", at positions 567 to 792 of the family's 1533-position model. Lineage: Bacteria; Pseudomonadati; Planctomycetota. The record is from RNAcentral.
AGCACGUAGGUGGGUUUGUAAGUCAGUUGUGAAAGCCUUCCGCUUAACGGAAGAACGGCAUCUGAUACUGCAGGGCUUGAGUACGGGAGGGGAGAGUGGAACUUCUGGUGGAGCGGUGAAAUGCGUAGAUAUCAGAAGGAACGCCGGCGGCGAAAGCGACUCUCUGGUCCGUAACUGACGCUGAGUGUGCGAAAGCUAGGGGAGCAAACGUGAGCAGAUAACCCGGUA